This 310-nucleotide long non-coding RNA is filed under the name Helianthus annuus (common sunflower). RNAcentral describes it as "hypothetical non coding rna". The record is from RNAcentral. Lineage: Eukaryota; Viridiplantae; Streptophyta; Magnoliopsida; Asterales; Asteraceae.
UUCGAUCUAGCCACAGUAGCAGCGAGCGAUCGACGGUGGAAGUCUCCGGUGAUAGUUUCUGAGUUUCGUCUGUGGCGGCAAUCGUAAAUUAAGGGUAAUUCAGACAUUUUCUAACAUCAAGGAAAUUAUGCGAGUUCGUUAUCUCCUGCAUCCCGAGUAGUAAUGCUCGAAACAUAGAUGAUAUUGAAUUUGAAGAUGCUGAGGUCAAUGCUGGUCAUGAUGCUGCAUAGCAAUAUAGGAAUCCGACAUCAGACAACCACGUUCUGUUAGAUGAUCAGACCAGUAAGUUGUCAAUUAAAUGGUUUCAAUU